This 89-nucleotide transfer RNA is filed under the name Anaerolineaceae bacterium. Its description in RNAcentral is "tRNA-Ser". It matches the Rfam family "tRNA". From Rfam's summary of the family: Transfer RNA (tRNA) molecules are approximately 80 nucleotides in length. The record is from RNAcentral. RNAcentral also lists the same sequence under 1 other name. Lineage: Bacteria; Bacillati; Chloroflexota; Anaerolineae; Anaerolineales; Anaerolineaceae.
GGGGAGGUGCCAGAGUGGACGAUUGGGGCCGCCUGCUAAGCGGUUGCCGGAGUAGAAUUCGGCCCAGGGUUCGAAUCCCUGCCUCCCCG